CCUGGGUCCUCUUUGACAGGCUGUCCCCUGAGUACUGUUCAUUGGUGAACAAAGAGUUCAGUGAAAAGAAGGCAGAAGGCCUGGGGUGAGAGAAAAUCUCCGAGGGGGACCUGAUGCAGCCUUGGGGGAAUAGAAGCUGCCUAGCUUCUUGGGGUCUGCACAAGCUAAGGCCUGGGCUCCUGGCAGACUUUCCUGCUAGCCCAGAAGACACCCACACACCCAAACCACUGGGAACGUGGCUUGCUGACCUUGGCAGGAAGAAGGGCUGAGUCGGCCUUUUGCGUAACAUAAAUACUCAGCACAGCUGCCUGCGACCUGCCCACUUCUUGUCAAAUCCAAGAAGGAAGGGACCUGCUGGCCAAACCCUUUUUUCCCACUGGACCUCAGACCCCAAGGAACUUGGAGUCUGCUCAAGUGAGUGAGUUGGGGCUCUUCGCCCUCCCAGAACUGGCUGUUGAUGGAAGAAACCCCUGCGUAGGAAGGAUGGAACUCUCCUGCUAUCAUGUGAAGCAGCAUGGACUAGCCUACAGAGGAUGAGGCCUCAUGGAGCAGACAAGCUGUCUCAGUUGAGGCCCUCAAAACCAAUCAAGCUCCAGCUGAACUGCCAGGUGACUGUAGCUGCAUGAGUGACCCCAGGCAAGAUGAGCAGAAGAGGCCCCAACUGAGCCCAACCCAAAUAGCUGACUCAUGGAAUCAUGAGCAAAUAAAAUGGUUGUUUUAAGCCACUAAGUUUUUAGAUGGUUUGUUACCCAGCAAUACAUAAUUGGUUUAUCAGAUAUCACAGCUAUUUUAUAGAUGAAGAAACUGACUCUCCAAGAAUUUGAUUGACUUGCACAUCAGGACAAGGACUGGGAUGGAAAGAGAAAGCCA
This 870-nucleotide long non-coding RNA is filed under the name Homo sapiens (human). RNAcentral's name for it is "HSALNT0135689". The record is from RNAcentral. Lineage: Eukaryota; Metazoa; Chordata; Mammalia; Primates; Hominidae.